This 397-nucleotide ribosomal RNA is filed under the name uncultured bacterium. RNAcentral describes it as "partial 16S ribosomal RNA". It matches the Rfam family "Bacterial small subunit ribosomal RNA", at positions 523 to 918 of the family's 1533-position model. The record is from RNAcentral.
AUACGUAGGGGGCAAGCGUUAUCCGGAUUUACUGGGUGUAAAGGGAGCGUAGACGGUUUGGCAAGUCUGAUGUGAAAGCCCGGGGCUCAACCGCGGGGCUGCAUUGGAAACUGUCAGACUUGAGUGCAGGAGAGGUAAGUGGAAUUCCUAGUGUAGCGGUGAAAUGCGUAGAUAUUAGGAGGAACACCGGUGGCGAAGGCGGCUUACUGGACUGUAACUGACGUUGAGGCUCGAAAGCGUGGGGAGCAAACAGGAUUAGAUACCCUGGUAUUCCACGCCGUAAACGAUGAAUACUAGGUGUUGGGAGACAAUAGUUUCUCGGUGCCGCAGCAAACGCAAUAAGUAUUCCACCUGGGGAGUACGUUCGCAAGAAUGAAACUCAAAUGAAUUGACGGGG